GGAGGAGGAGGAGGAGGUAAUAGCUAGAAGUCCCGGGGGAGGAGGAGAAGGAGGAGGCGCGGGCGGCGCAGGCGGUCGUGCAGCUGCUGCAGCAGCAGGAGAUGCCUUUAACCUUUGGAAGUAUUGAAUUGUACUAUAUAUGGGAAGAUGGGAAGACACUACAAAGAAAACUUCAUAUUUGAGUGUAUCCUUUGCCUAAAAGGAAUUUUUUCCCAUUUAAUCUUCCGUCCUUUAUCCAGGAUUGUACCCUGUAAGAUUAUCCCACAGUAUCUUUACAAAGAAGCCUUCAUCCUGAAGAAUCAAGAAGUAUUUUUGAUGUCCACAUUAUAUUUUUUAAAUCCCUAUAAAUAAACAGCUUUUAUGAUGUCUAAA
This is a long non-coding RNA of Monodelphis domestica (gray short-tailed opossum), 372 nucleotides long. RefSeq lists it as uncharacterized. The record is from RefSeq and is a predicted model, not a curated record. NCBI's taxonomy places the organism in Eukaryota, Metazoa, Chordata, Mammalia, Didelphimorphia, Didelphidae.